UGUGCAAUUAUAUAAUUUGAUUAAAAAAGAGCCAAUAAGGCAUAAUAUUUCAUACAACAGCCAAGCAAAGUACAUUCCAAUCAUACAUAGUACAAAUCUGGUAUUCAGCUAUAAAAUACUACUAAAUAUACACAUAACUAGCUCCAGUGAGCUAAGACGCAUUGUUGGGUGUGGUUUUUCUUCGGGAUUCUUCUUCCUAGAGCUCCUGUGCACCCAACUUUUGAAGAAUGAAGGCCAACAUCUACAAAUAAUAAAUUAUGGAAAGUUAGAAACAUAAUAAAGUGACAAGGUCAAGAUAGGCACAAGCAGCACGAGAAAACAGGAUAAUUGUGGUUCAACAUAUGCAAAUAUCUGAAUACUAUGUCAUAGCAAAAAAAUGACUAGUCGUCCACUGCCAAUCAAUUUCGGCAUGGGAAACGAUCACCAAUGAUCUACAGAAAUUUCUGAUUGCAUGUGUACAUGUCCAUGCAGUUAAACUGAGUUGAGACAAAGAGUCAACACCAAUUCAGAUUCAUCUCCCUGAAGGAACUCAGAACAAGAACAACUGCUCAAAUUCAGAAGUUUCAACAUAGGAACAGAACCAAAUUGGACACCUUUAACAGGAAAAACAGAAGAUAGGCAUUGUUAUAUAUAGUUGUGCUAGGCAAUUUUAAAAACAUAACCAAAUGCUAAUAGGAAGAACACCAAGAUUGCAUUCUGUAUGAAGAUAAACUAGAGCCAAAGGAAGGGUAACAGAUGAAGAAAAAAUCCUGACAUACAAAGGUAAGCUCAUUGUGCAUUUUCUUUUUCAAUGUGAUACACAAUAAGCAUAAGUAACCACCAAAAUCUCUCAAUACCGAUCAUUAACUAGACAAGUUCCAACAUAAAGGAAAAGCAAUUAUAGAGGUGUGACUUCAGGUACAAACAUAGCAAGGCCACAGCAGCCACGCAAUCACUUAACUACAACGAUUCUUCCUACUGCUGGCAUCCUUAGAAGUGAAAGCUUCUUCUAACCAGUCUAUUACUUCAUAAUGUCAUGGCAUGUCUAUAUAUUCAGUAAAAUAAAUAUAGUAGUAGGUAUGUAGGACAACAGCAUGCAUUGCCCUUAUCACCCAAGAAGAGGCUCCCAACGUAUCUACCAGCAGGAAUCUUAAAACACAUCCAUCAACUCUUCUCAUUAUCUUGGCCAAGUUAAUACUCACUCACUUAGCUAUUGCAUACACACAAGUCAAAAUAAUACAUCACAACAACUAAACGACCUUAGUCAUUAUGGAUUCUGAGUCCAGCUAUGAACGAACAUGCAAGUUUCAUAUAUACCGAGGUUCUUGUUGAGGGUGCGGGUGAACUGGUGGAGCGCAGGGGGGGCCUUGAGGCGCUAUUUGAGGAUGCGGCGCUAGCGCUGGAUGCGGAUGACCUUGGGCAACUUGACGAACCGGUGGAGGUCCUUCUUGGGCGGCAGGGCACCACUUAUGCCGAACUGCUUCGGCCUCUUCUCGAACGGCGGGUUCACCACCUUGUCCUGCAACCACACACCAACGCAACCCAGUCAGAUCACACGCGCCAGGACCGGGAGAUUCCGAGCAGGUGUUAUUUCUGCCAUUUAUUAAUUACACAUGCAACACUUAUAUUCAUAGCACUACUGGUACUUGUUGUACCAGGAACAGGAUGCGGCAGUGGAGCUUCAAGAAAAAUAUUUAGGGGCCAAAACAAAGAGGAAAAUACCAUUGCUAUCCAUGUGAGUCCAAGAGGUCCAAUGGUUAUUAUGAUUAUCAUGCAUUACAUAUACAUCAGCUCGCUCUUCCUAGAAAUCCACAACCUUUCCUGCGAUGCUUGUCAUGGGACAACGAAGUGACCUAUCAAUCACAUAACACAGUCCUAGAUAAACGUCUCUAUUUGAUCUAAACUAAACCAAGAUAGUAUGCAUUGCGGCUACAACCAACCUACAACAACCGUAGACAGUGAAGCAUACCAGACCACAAGAACAUGGAACGGUCCCUGUGUACAUCUAAUAUGAUCUCUCUUUGUCACGAUAUUAAUCUAACCAACCUCAAGAUUGCAGAGUAGAACAACCGCACAGACCAAUCAUGUAAACCCUUGCUCACCACAAUGGUGUAGGCGCCCUCGUCGGCCGGCAUGGACUUCUCCGUGUACCUCACGUCCCACCACAACACCAGUCACGUCCCAGGUCAGCGUCGUGUCGCCCUGAAUUGUCUGUGUCAAACCAGAUUCAGUCAGUCAAUCAGCCGG
Molecule: long non-coding RNA, 2226 nt
Filed under: Triticum aestivum (bread wheat)
Lineage: Eukaryota; Viridiplantae; Streptophyta; Magnoliopsida; Poales; Poaceae
Description: long non-coding RNA (TAES_LNC001354)
Source: RNAcentral